UGGAACUGUUGGAAGGUGGAUUGUUUUUCGAAGUGCUAGGCUUGGAUCUUUUAUAGGACAAGUACCUACCUAGUACCUAUUGACGAAUCAUCUUAGAAGUUAAACGCACAGGAAAAUCCCAAUAGAUAAUAAUUAAUGAUUGGUAAUCAAAUUAAAGGUUAUUAUUAAUCGACUGAGAUACGUAUAGAAAAUAUGUUACAAAUUCCAAAGAUUACAAUAUUAUAGUAACUAAUUAAAUUAUAAUUAAAUUAUAUAAUUUAUUGUUAUUAUUAUUUUAUUAUAUGGUUCAUCAAAUAUCAUGCAUUCACGUGUCAAUAUAUACGUGAUAUCGUAUAUCACGUGUAUAUCAAAUAUAUUAUUAUUGUUAUGGGCUAUGAGAUAUCUAUAAGAUAUCUACGAGAUUACUAGGCUAAGUUAGUAUGACCAUGCCUCGUGUCAAGGGUAAUGCGGAUGCUACUAUGACCAUGACACGUGUCGGGAUAGUAAGCGCACCAAUAAUUACAGUGCACUAAUGAUGCAUUUGAGAUGUUAUUGCACAUUCUCAAAUUCGUGUCCGAAUUUGCAACAACAACAACAAGGACACCUGGUUUUACCCAGAAGGCGACCACACGACGUAAACAAGAGACGCACCACAAUAUAUAAGGGAGCCCGAAGACCAGUGUAGUAAACCGACGUUUUUAGUAUAAAAACGUAGUUCCGAAGUCCAGUGGUCUAUGACUAUAUCACGCCACCGAGUCGGACCACUCAUGCCGUUUCCUGAUUGGAUUAGACACAUCACGCCACUUCAUAGACGUAGAUCAUCCGAUUCUCCAUCACGGCAUGUUCCAUAUAAAUAUGAGUCCUCAUCAUAGAUUUAAUUAGAGUUAGUUAAGAGUCAGUUAGACCAAGUUAGUGUUGUCACUUGCUCUCCGGUAGCUAAGUACUUGUGCUUACGCUAACGAAAGCCUUUUCAUUAUUAUUUUAACAAAUUAAUAAACGUAUCAAUUGUCUUAUUAAUUUAUUGUUAACUAAUAUACCUCAACUCUCCAACCUACGACGGAACGUGCAUUCGUCGUAAAAGAAGCGUGCAGUAACUAUCACUGGUUACUACAUAAAAUUUGGUGUCAGGUGUGGGGUCAUACUUCAUCAAACGAAAUUUUUUUGAGUCAAAUCAAAAAAUAAGUACUUUGAGACCCACCGACGAAACCACGUUCACGACAGGAAGGAGAACAGAGAGAAUUCAAGCGGUCUAGUCCAGGGAGGACAGAAAUCAAAUUCCAGAAGGACGGAAGUCAACUUUUCAAACGGGGCGGUACUCUUUUCGCCCAAAAAUGACCCUUCGCUUUUUGCCCACGUCUCUUUUCGCCCAAAUAUUUUAAAACUACUUUCCCUUUUCGCCCAAGAAUAUUAUAUAGCACUUUUCGACCAAAUUUUUAUAAUACACACUUUGGGAAACACUUACUUUAAAAUAUUUAUCUUUAACAUAAUAAUAAAUUUGUUAUAUUUAAA
Aphis gossypii (cotton aphid) is the source of this 1488-nucleotide long non-coding RNA. RefSeq lists it as uncharacterized. The transcript is spliced from 2 exons. NCBI's taxonomy places the organism in Eukaryota, Metazoa, Arthropoda, Insecta, Hemiptera, Aphididae. The record is from RefSeq and is a predicted model, not a curated record.